Molecule: ribosomal RNA, 254 nt
Filed under: uncultured Gemella sp.
Lineage: Bacteria; Bacillati; Bacillota; Bacilli; Caryophanales; Gemellaceae
Description: partial 16S ribosomal RNA
Rfam family: Bacterial small subunit ribosomal RNA
Source: RNAcentral
AGUAACACGUAAAGAACCUACCUUAUAGACAGGGACAACUAUUGGAAACGAUAGCUAAUACCUGAUAAGAAAGAAACUCGCAUGAGAGAAGUUCGAAAGUCGGAGCAAUCUGACACUAUAAGAUGGCUUUGCGGUGCAUUAGCUAGUUGGUAGGGUAAAAGCCUACCAAGGCGACGAUGCAUAGCCGACCUGAGAGGGUGAUCGGCCACAUUGGGACUGAGACACGGCCCAAACUCCUACGGGAGGCAGCAGCC